GUGUGUGUAAUUUAAAU
This 17-nucleotide transfer RNA is filed under the name Nerodia sipedon. Its description in RNAcentral is "partial tRNA-His". RNAcentral also lists the same sequence under 25 other names. Lineage: Eukaryota; Metazoa; Chordata; Lepidosauria; Squamata; Natricidae. The record is from RNAcentral.